AUGCUCUGUAACUUCCACAUAUUAUUAUUUAAAGAAUUUAUUCCUCGGGCAAUUCUAGGUAGCACAAUGGAUAGAACAGCAAGUCUAGAGUCUGGAGGACUUGGGUUCAAAUGUGAUCUCAGACAGUUCCUAACUAUGAUAUUGGGCCAUCAGGUGGGGCCAUGCAUGGAAAUGGAAUCAAGAAGAUGAGGUUCAAAUCCUGCUUCAGAUGCCUGGGCAAGUCACAGAACUUCUCUCAGACUCAAUUUCCUCAUUUGUAAAAUGGAGAUGAUGGUAGCAUCUACUUCAUAGGGUUGUUGUGGGGACCAAAUGGUAUAAAAUGCUUUGAAAACCUUAAUGAGCUAUAUUCCUGCUCAUUAUUAGUUUUAUCUUUAUCAAACAUUCCUCAUAAGACCUGGC
This 399-nucleotide long non-coding RNA is filed under the name Monodelphis domestica (gray short-tailed opossum). RNAcentral's name for it is "lncRNA (ENSMODG00000034790.2)". Lineage: Eukaryota; Metazoa; Chordata; Mammalia; Didelphimorphia; Didelphidae. The record is from RNAcentral.